This 80-nucleotide transfer RNA is filed under the name Croceibacterium salegens. RNAcentral's name for it is "Altererythrobacter salegens tRNA-Phe". Lineage: Bacteria; Pseudomonadati; Pseudomonadota; Alphaproteobacteria; Sphingomonadales; Erythrobacteraceae. The record is from RNAcentral.
GGUGGCGCGUAGCUCAGCAGGGGUAGAGCGUCAGCUGAAAUAGCGCUGGAGGUCCUUCGUUCGAUUCGAGGCCGUCACCC